UAAGGAAUAUUGGUCAAUGGACGCAAGUCUGAACCAGCCAUGCCGCGUGGAGGAUGAAGGUCCUCUGGAUUGUAAACUUCUUUUAUCUGGGACGAAAAAAGGGAAUUCUUUCUCGUCUGACGGUACCAGAUGAAUAAGCACCGGCUAACUCCGUGCCAGCAGCCGCGGUAAUACGGAGGGUGCAAGCGUUAUCCGGAUUCACUGGGUUUAAAGGGUGCGUAGGCGGGUAUGUAAGUCCGUGGUGAAAUCUCCGAGCUUAACUCGGAAACUGCCAUGGGUACUGCGUAUCUUGAAUGUUGUGGAGGUGAGCGGAAUAUGUCAUGUAGCGGUGAAAUGCUUAGAUAUGACAUAGAACACCAAUUGCGAAGGCAGCUCACUACACAAAUAUUGACGCUGAGGC
This 400-nucleotide ribosomal RNA is filed under the name uncultured bacterium. RNAcentral's name for it is "bacterial SSU rRNA". It matches the Rfam family "Bacterial small subunit ribosomal RNA", at positions 355 to 752 of the family's 1533-position model. The record is from RNAcentral.